UGGGGAAUUUUGGACAAUGGGGGCAACCCUGAUCCAGCCAUCCCGCGUGUGCGAUGAAGGCCUUCGGGUUGUAAAGCACUUUUGGCAGGGAAGAAACAGCCUGGGAUAAUACCCGGCGGACUGACGGUACCUGCAGAAUAAGCACCGGCUAACUACGUGCCAGCAGCCGCGGUAAUACGUAGGGUGCAAGCGUUAAUCGGAAUUACUGGGCGUAAAGCGUGCGCAGGCGGUUCGGAAAGAAAGGUGUGAAAUCCCAGGCGUUAACCUUGGAACUGCACUUUUAACUACCGAGCUAGAGUACGUCAGAGGGGUGAGAAUUCCACGUGUAGCAGUGAAAUGCGUAGAGAUGUGGAGGAAUACCGAUGGCGAAGGCAGCCCCCUGGGAUGAUACUGACGCUCAUGCACGAAAGCGUGGGAGCAACAGAUAGAUACCUGUAGUCCACGCCUAAACGAUGUCAACUAGCUGUUGGGUUAUUAACCUUAGUAGCGCAGC
Molecule: ribosomal RNA, 493 nt
Filed under: uncultured bacterium
Lineage: Bacteria
Description: partial 16S ribosomal RNA
Rfam family: Bacterial small subunit ribosomal RNA
Source: RNAcentral